GAUGAACGCUGGCGGCGUGCCUAACACAUGCAAGUCGAGCGAUCUACUUCGGUAAAGAGCGGCGGACGGGUGAGUAACGCGUGGGUAACCUGCCCUGUACACACGGAUAACAUACCGAAAGGUAUGCUAAUACGAGAUAAUAUGCUUUUAUCGCAUGGUAGAAGCAUCAAAGCUUUUGCGGUACAGGAUGGACCCGCGUCUGAUUAGCUAGUUGGUAAGGUAACGGCUUACCAAGGCGACGAUCAGUAGCCGACCUGGGAGGGUGAUCGGCCACAUUGGAACUGAGAAACGGUCCAAACGACUACGGGAGGCAGCAGUGGGGAAUAUUGCACAAUGGGCGAAAGCCCGAUGCAGCAACGCCGCGUGAGCGAUGAAGGCCUACGGGUCGUAAAGCUCUGUCCUCAAGGAAGAUAAUGACGGUACUUGAGGAGGAAGCCCCGGCUAACUACGUGCCAGCCGCCGCCGUAA
RNAcentral lists this ribosomal RNA (468 nucleotides) under uncultured bacterium. RNAcentral's name for it is "partial 16S ribosomal RNA". It matches the Rfam family "Bacterial small subunit ribosomal RNA", at positions 28 to 523 of the family's 1533-position model. The record is from RNAcentral.